CCGCCCCGUCGGCCGCGGCGGCCUGACCGUCGGCCGGCUGGGGCUGGGCACGGCGCCGAUCGGCGGGCUGUUCGAGGCGGUCGGGGAGGACCA
This 93-nucleotide transfer RNA is filed under the name Actinoallomurus iriomotensis. RNAcentral's name for it is "tRNA-Pro". Lineage: Bacteria; Bacillati; Actinomycetota; Actinomycetes; Streptosporangiales; Thermomonosporaceae. The record is from RNAcentral.